Molecule: ribosomal RNA, 187 nt
Filed under: uncultured rumen bacterium
Lineage: Bacteria
Description: partial 16S ribosomal RNA
Rfam family: Bacterial small subunit ribosomal RNA
Source: RNAcentral
UACGGGAGGCAGCAGUGAGGAAUAUUGGUCAAUGGGCGGAGGCCUGAACCAGCCAAGUCGCGUGGGGGACGACGGCCCUACGGGUUGUAAACCCCUUUAGCCGGGGAGUAACAAGCGCCACGCGUGGCGCCAUGAGAGUACCCGGAGAAUAAGCAUCGGCUAACUCCGUGCCAGCAGCCGCGGUAAU